RNAcentral lists this ribosomal RNA (253 nucleotides) under uncultured bacterium. Its description in RNAcentral is "partial 16S ribosomal RNA". It matches the Rfam family "Bacterial small subunit ribosomal RNA", at positions 524 to 776 of the family's 1533-position model. The record is from RNAcentral.
UACGUAGGGGGCAAGCGCUGUCCGGAUUUACUGGGCGUAAAGAGCGUGUAGGCGGCCAAGCAGGUCCGUUGUGAAAACUGGAGGCUUAACCUCCAGACGUCGACGGAAACCGCGUGGCUAGAGUCCGGAAGAGGAGAGUGGAAUUCCUGGUGUAGCGGUGAAAUGCGCAGAUAUCAGGAAGAACACCAAUGGCGAAGGCAGCUCUCUGGGACGGUACUGACGCUGAGACGCGAAAGCGUGGGGAGCGAACAGG